UGGCGCUCCAUGGCCAGGCGGAAAUCCUCCUUCACGCCCUUGGUGAUACCCCGUGUGACUGUGUGGUGCCUGAGGGCAGCAAUAGGGAAACAGAAGACACCAGGGUUAGAUCCAGCAUCACUGCUCCGGACACAUGGAUUCCCCUGCUGACCUCUACCCAAGUCAGUUAUACUGGCUGAACUGGGUGCAGACCAUCUUGGCUGCAGAAGGAGGAAGGCUGAAGAAGGCAGCCAGGCUGAGCUCAGGCUGCUGGCCCUCAGUUGGGGCUCAGGGAGGGUUGAGGGCCUGGGCACAAUCUCCAGGCAGUAAGCAUGUCAGUCUCCUCGUGGUGCCAGGACAGGAGAGCACCGCUGUCUGAGUGCUGAGCCCAUCCAGACUCAGGUGGGGAGGUUCAAUCUGUUCAGCUGCUCAGGAGUCCUGCCUGUUUGUGGAAGGGUCAGUUGGAGUACCAGCAAGGUCUCUAACUGUACCUUAAAAGCUGCGCUUUAGAGGAGAAAAACAAAGGAAAC
Long non-coding RNA from Erinaceus europaeus (western European hedgehog), 509 nucleotides. RefSeq lists it as uncharacterized. The record is from RefSeq and is a predicted model, not a curated record. The transcript has 2 exons. Lineage: Eukaryota; Metazoa; Chordata; Mammalia; Eulipotyphla; Erinaceidae.